GACGAACCGUGCUAACGUUGUUCGGAAUCACUGGGCUUAAAGGGCGCGUAGGCGGUUUGUUAAGUCGGCUGUGAAAGCCCGGGGCUCAACCCCGGAGGGUCAGCCGAUACUGGCAGACUAGAGUACGGAAGAGGUAGCUGGAAUUCCCGGUGUAGCGGUGAAAUGCGUAGAUAUCUGGAGGAACACCGGUGGCGAAGGCGGCAUCCUGGAUUGGUAUUGACGCUGAGGAGCGAAAGCUAGGGGAGCAAACGGG
RNAcentral lists this ribosomal RNA (253 nucleotides) under uncultured bacterium. Its description in RNAcentral is "partial 16S ribosomal RNA". It matches the Rfam family "Bacterial small subunit ribosomal RNA", at positions 524 to 776 of the family's 1533-position model. The record is from RNAcentral.